RNAcentral lists this transfer RNA (74 nucleotides) under Magnetofaba australis IT-1. Its description in RNAcentral is "tRNA-Gly". It matches the Rfam family "tRNA". From Rfam's summary of the family: Transfer RNA (tRNA) molecules are approximately 80 nucleotides in length. Their secondary structure includes four short double-helical elements and three loops (D, anti-codon, and T loops). Lineage: Bacteria; Pseudomonadati; Pseudomonadota; Magnetococcia; Magnetococcales; Magnetococcaceae. RNAcentral also lists the same sequence under 1 other name. The record is from RNAcentral.
GCGGGUGUCGUCUAAUGGUAGGGCCGAAGCUUCCCAAGCUUCUGACGAGGGUUCGAUUCCCUUCACCCGCUCCA